RNAcentral lists this ribosomal RNA (253 nucleotides) under uncultured bacterium. RNAcentral's name for it is "partial 16S ribosomal RNA". It matches the Rfam family "Bacterial small subunit ribosomal RNA", at positions 524 to 776 of the family's 1533-position model. The record is from RNAcentral.
UACGAAGGGGGCUAGCGUUGUUCGGAAUUACUGGGCGUAAAGCGCACGUAGGCGGGUCGUUAAGUCAGGGGUGAAAUCCCAGAGCUCAACUCUGGAACUGCCUUUGAUACUGGCGACCUAGAGCUCGGAAGAGGUUAGUGGAAUUCCCAGUGUAGAGGUGAAAUUCGUAGAUAUUGGGAAGAACACCAGUGGCGAAGGCGGCUAACUGGUCCGAUACUGACGCUGAGGUGCGAAAGCGUGGGGAGCAAACAGG